GACAGAGGCCCCGAGCGUUAAUCGGAAUUACUGGGCUUAAAGGGUGCGUAGGCGGACCAGAAAGUGCUUUGUGAAAUCCCCCGGCUCAACCGGGGAACAGCGGGGCAUACUGCUGGUCUUGAGGCAAGUAAGGGUUGCGAGAACUGUAGGUGGAGCGGUGAAAUGCGUAGAUAUCUACAGGAAUGCCGAUGGUGAAGACGCGCAACUGGGCUUGUCCUGACGCUGAGGCACGAAAGCGUGGGGAGCGAACAGG
This 253-nucleotide ribosomal RNA is filed under the name uncultured bacterium. RNAcentral describes it as "partial 16S ribosomal RNA". It matches the Rfam family "Bacterial small subunit ribosomal RNA", at positions 524 to 776 of the family's 1533-position model. The record is from RNAcentral.